This 497-nucleotide ribosomal RNA is filed under the name uncultured bacterium. RNAcentral's name for it is "partial 16S ribosomal RNA". It matches the Rfam family "Bacterial small subunit ribosomal RNA", at positions 28 to 507 of the family's 1533-position model. The record is from RNAcentral.
GAUGAACGCUGGCGGCGUGCCUAAUACAUGCGAGUCGAGCGAACAGACGAGGAGCUUGCUCCUCUGACGUUAGCGGCGGACGGGUGAGUAACACGUGGAUAACCUACCUAUAAGACUGGGAUAACUUCGGGAAACCGGAGCUAAUACCGGAUAAUAUAUUGAACCGCAUGGUUCAAUAGUGAAAGACGGUUUUGCUGUCACUUAUAGAUGGAUCCGCGCCGCAUUAGCUAGUUGGUAAGGUAACGGCUUACCAAGGCAACGAUGCGUAGCCGACCUGAGAGGGUGAUCGGCCACACUGGAACUGAGACACGGUCCAGACUCCUACGGGAGGCAGCAGUAGGGAAUCUUCCGCAAUGGGCGAAAGCUUGACGGGGCAACGCCGCGUGAGUGAUGAAGGUCUUCGGAUCGUAAAACUCUGUUAUUAGGGAAGAACAAAUGUGUAAGUAACUAUGCACGUCUUGACGGUACCUAAUCAGAAAGCCACGGCUAACUACGUG